RNAcentral lists this ribosomal RNA (990 nucleotides) under Triticum aestivum (bread wheat). RNAcentral's name for it is "partial small subunit ribosomal RNA". Lineage: Eukaryota; Viridiplantae; Streptophyta; Magnoliopsida; Poales; Poaceae. The record is from RNAcentral.
AUGGCUGGUUUGUUCUGGAAUGCCAGGGGACUGGGUGACCCUGAGAAAAUUACCUUUAUUAAAAAUGCUUUGGCAGAGUUCCAACUUAGAUUCAUUUGUAUCCAGCAAACUAAAAAAACUACUUAUAACUUGGCUUGGCUUGAGAAUGUUAGUGGUAAUUGCCCUUUCUCCUGGUGCUUUGUUCCUGCUGUUGGACAGUCAGGAGGUCUUUUGAGUGGUAUUAAUACUGAUUUUUAUGAUAUCUUAGAUUCUGAAAAAGGAUGUCAUCAUAUUAGAUUCCUUGUCCGAGAUAGGAAAAAUGGAGAGAAGUUAAAUAUAGUAAAUGUUUAUGGAGCUUCGCAUAAUAAGGAUAAAGAAUACUUCCUAGUUGAAUUAGUUCAUAUAUGUAAUUCUAACGCUUUUCCUAUUAUUGUUGGGGGAGAUUUUAAUAUCAUAAGGAAAAGGUGGUCUACUCUGUUUAAUGCAAUUAUUGAGAAUUGGGAGAUGAAAGAAGUAGAACUAAAUGGGAGAGCUUUUACUUGGUCAAAUAAUCAAGAAAAUCCCGUUUUUAAGGAAUUAGACAGAAUUUUAAUGUCUCUAUCUUAUGAGAGUUUGUUUCCUCUGAUGUUUCUUCGAGCUCUUCCUAGAGUCCUCUCUGACCAUGCCCCUCUUUUGCUUGAUUUGGGGAUGAACUUACCUAAGAUAGUGAAACCUUUUAAAUUUGAACUCUGCUGGUUCCUAAGAGAAGAUUUAGAUACUUUAGUAUAUAAUGUCUUGUGUGAUGCUUAUUGUGGUAAAAGUUUGCAAGAUCAGUGGCAAAAUAGAGCCAGGAUACUUAGAAAAACGCUCAAAGGGUGGAAUCUCAACUAUGUUUGGUUUUACAAAAAGCAAAAGGUUUUCCUGAUUAGAGAUAUAGAUGAGACAGACAGAGAGAGUGAAUUAAUUGGUUUGACUAAAGAAAAAUAUAUGUUAAGGAAAAAAGUUAGAGGAGGAGCUUUCAAAGAUUUAUAA